CAACCCUCACCGCUUGCGAUGUCAAAGUCGCUCGAGGUGGAUUUGGACCGUGCCGCGUUUCGCGGCUCGUCUUGAAAUGCAUUAGCUUUCGCUCUUUAGAGUGCUCGGCACCGGUGUGAUAAUUAUCUGCGCCAACGCCUCAGGCCUCUUUGGUAGCGCUGCUUACAGUCGUCCCGACGGACAAUUUAUUAAAG
Molecule: unclassified non-coding RNA, 194 nt
Filed under: uncultured fungus
Lineage: Eukaryota; Fungi
Description: sequence contains ITS2
Source: RNAcentral